RNAcentral lists this long non-coding RNA (253 nucleotides) under Vigna radiata. RNAcentral's name for it is "long non-coding RNA (VRAD_LNC017177)". Lineage: Eukaryota; Viridiplantae; Streptophyta; Magnoliopsida; Fabales; Fabaceae. The record is from RNAcentral.
GGAAAAAUAUUUUAUACUGAAAUAGAUUCUGGGUCAUAUGAAAUUAGGGUUAGAACAUGCUUGGGUGAUAUAUUAGGUUUUAAAAAUAUAAGAAAGCACACGGUAAUCGGGAGAGUUUAGAAAACAACCCUAACUCUAUAUUCAGAAAUUGAAACGGUGAGAGUUUGUGAGAGAGUGUAAGACCACAUCUUCUCUAAUGCAAGUCCGUGAGUGAAGCAAGGGAGCAUGGAGGGCUUUGAAACCAACCAUCAGA